Long non-coding RNA from Cercocebus atys (sooty mangabey), 755 nucleotides. RefSeq lists it as uncharacterized. NCBI's taxonomy places the organism in Eukaryota, Metazoa, Chordata, Mammalia, Primates, Cercopithecidae. The record is from RefSeq and is a predicted model, not a curated record. The transcript is spliced from 3 exons.
AAAUGUGUUUGGGCAAACGGAAGUGGAAGGAGGUUUAAACCAGCAGCAUUUACAAAGGAACUGGCAUUUGGUGGCCAGUGAGAAAGGCAAUGUGUUAGGAACAGAGGAAUGCUCAGGAAGAUGGAGGAGAUGAGAAAAAUAAUAGAUAAUUCGCCCUGAUUUGAGGUGAGCCAUGUCCAGUGCAUUUAAGGCCUUGGAAUUUAUCCCAUAAAUCAGCGUUUCUCAAACUGAGCUGUGUGGAAUACUGCAGACCACCCAUGGAUCUACUCUCAGAAAUCUGUGCGCUCUUUCCAGUUUUUAAUACUGGUGAUAUUUUAAAAUGAAGUAUUACAAGUCUAUUCUGCAUCAUCUGGAGAGCCAGCUCAGACCAAGGGGACAGGAGACCACAGUCACCUGAUUCCAGCGCCAUAGGCAUUUUCCAUUGAGGAUUGCUUCCAUGCCAAGGAAGGCACAGUGAUGUCAUGAAGAGGCUUCACAGUAGUUUGAAAGGAGAAGAGGAGGGCGAAAAUAAAGUCAUCACCUUGAACAAGGGUUUGCUCCCAUCAACUUGCUUCUUCUUGGAAAGCUAGAAUCCUGCAGCUGUAUUGACCAGCACAAAGACCUUUGUGCUGACUGAAUAACAAGGGGACCUUCAUGUGACUGGCAAGUGACUCGAUUUCCCAUGGGUUGCAUCAUGUUUUGGGGCACGAGUGCCCGCCUUGGUGAAUUUGGGGUCGGCUGCCAAAAUGAUUGGAAGAGAAGCCUGUUGUUUUCAC